GUUGAGAAUAUUUCAGAUUCUAAGGAGAAUACAGAAGCAUUACAAAAAUGUCAAAAAUGGAUAAUCCUCUACAACAUUUCGCCCCCACCCCCAACUUUUCCACCCAUGUAUGGUAUCUGCCAUAAAGGGCAUCCUCAAUACACAAGACUCCCCCGCCACUGUUGAAAUGUCCUCCCUUCAUGCUUCACUAUAUGUUCGCUUAGUAUUGCAAAAAUAGCUAUGUACAGUGUGUUUGCUAUCACAUAUGCAUGGUGCAUAAACUUAUUGAUAACUGAACAUGCAAAUGAGUGUUAGUAAUGUUCUCGAGCCUCCACCAGCUAAGUUCCACCGAUUUGCCAUUGAACAGAGAUCACAUUCACUCAUGUAUCACGAUAGAUAUGUUGCGGCAACCACUUGAGAUGCAAAUAUAAGCUUCCAGAUUUAGCUCCAUCAAGCUUAAACCCGUCCUUGUACUCACCUUCCAAAAUAACCUUUGUCAAAGUCAGGAUACAUCUUCCCAUGUAGUCCUUGCCAAAUGUGUCAUGAUCCCAUACUUCAAGAAUUAGCAUAUCAUGUAAUCCGUCCUCAACAACAAAGUCGAAAGUUUGAUUCCAAACAGGAUUCAAGCAAUCAUUCACAACCCUAGUUUUGUUUUUUGUUUCUGAUUUCUUCAUUGUGAGAACAACGUAGGGAUCAGCCUUGCCCAUCAAAUCUACCACUGGCAAAUCUUCAGCAGAUAUCACAGUCACGGAAAGAACUCCUCUAACUAUGACCUCCCUUCUCCUUUGUGUAAUUGCGUUUCCGUUUCCAGUGACUUCAAUCCCAUCCGCCCCACUUUUAAGAACCUUCUCCAAGGAGGUCAUUGAGAAGCUCGAAGCAAAUGGGUUUGUAAAGCCAUUCUCCAUACCAAAAGGACAGUACAAAAGCUCCAAGUGAACCUGGCCCCUGUUUUUAUUAUCCCUUUGGACCUCCAAAUCUUUAACCAGAUUCAACCAUACAUCUUUCACUUUACCAGGCUCAAGCUCACUUAGCUGCACUUGAGCACAUCCAAUGAGCUCAGAUGCCUGCAGCCCUUCAUCAUCAAAGAUCUUUACCACCAAGUGUUGAGUGGUUGCAUCUUCAACAAUAAAUUCAAAGUGCUCAUUCCAGAUUGGAUUCAGAUCAUUGUUAAUUAUUUUACUGGUUUUUGUUCUGUCACGUAGAGGACGUAUGUAUAAUUCAGCAUAGGGAUCUGAUUUCCCAAUGAUGUCUUUGUUUGUCAAAUCCUUUGCUUGCACAAGCUUUACUUCUAACAUCCCAACAGGCUUUAACUCCAGAUCACUGCGCAACAAAAUUUACUAGCUUUCUCAAGUAUUGUUAGAAAUAAAGAUCAUAGAAAAGCAACCUUAAACAACCCUACCCAACUCUCCCUGAGACCGUAACUGAUCAAAGGAGUAAAAACCACCACCACUUUUCUGAAAUGUCCAACUAAGUUAUUCAGAGAGAAAAUCAGAUUGGCCCUUUAAACGUGAGAAUGCAAUUAUCAGAGCUAUUUCUGAUAGCUUUCUAUAUUCAUUAGCCUGACUAUUAAUGUCCUUCUUUAGUAUUAACAAUAAGCUUUCAAAAGGGGAAAAUAAUCUUUUAAACUAAAAUAAAUCAGCUGAGAUACCUAUAGUCCCCAGGCAAAAUUGGAACAACUUUCCGAACAGGCCAGGUAAUCGAAUCUUCAAUAGCAUCACGUAUUGUCCCCUGUAUACGUAAAAAUGUCAUUUUAUUAAACAAAGGUCAUUUUAUCACCAAAGUCAGGAAUUCAGAUUUACCCUCCAAGCCCAUAUUGUAAACAAACAAGCAUACACGUUUUUCACAUACAAAGUCACAUACAGAAAAAUUACUAGACAAAUGCCAAUGCGCUUUUCACAUCACAUAUAAUUGACAUAUUAAGCUUCAUCAUCCAAUUUAUGAAAAAAUAACCGAAGUCCAAACCUUUUUUAAUUAUAAUAAUCAAUUCAUUUUGGUAAACCAAAUUUUAUGCAAAUUUCAUUAUAUGAAUAACCCAAGCUACCACAUGCCAGACGACUGGAACCACAGAAUGCUACAAAGAAAAGCUCAUCCAACAUCACGAGCAAGUUAUCUUUUAGAGCAACUUCAACACAAGAUCCUUUAACACUAUCCACCAAUUCAAAAUUGCAUUGAAUUUACAGAAUUAAUAUUAGGACAACGCUAUUCUGAGUCUCCUGAAUUCAGCAAGAAAUUCCCCAAGAAUUUGAGCAGACCACUCUGUUAAUGGUCCUCCAAUUACAAGUAAACGGACCCAAUACACAAAGUUUAUAUAUUGGGGUCAUAAUUUUAAUUCAAAAGAUAUGUAAACUCUCGAAUACCACCAUGAAUUCAUAGGCAUCUUACUCCACAAGUAGGAUCAUUGUACUCUAGUUUUUUUAAAUCCUCAAAAUCUACCGUUGAUAUUAGGCAGCAUAAGCCAUAAAGUUUUAGGUGAAAGGCUGUGAAACUGAAAAUUUGAAAAUCACAACAGAUGGAGAACUAUUCACUUUGCAAACUGUAAUAAAUGGCACAUAAAAAAAAAGUCAUAUUAGUUGAUACAGUGAUAACAAUGUAUUAUCAAAUAAUGAUGCCAAUAAAGACAAUUAUAGGUUGCACAAACCUCAAUAGCAUCAGAAAUUCCAGGAAUUGCUGAUAUGUCACCGCCAAUAACUUUUAGUGUAAAAUCCAACUUUUUCUGCAAGCCAAAAAUCCACAGCCCACUAAACAUACGAGUCAUUCAUCUAUCUGCAGCAUUGUGCCUACACAAGUGCAUGCAUGUGUGUGCGUGUGGGUGUGUGUGGGUGCCCGU
RNAcentral lists this unclassified non-coding RNA (2806 nucleotides) under Hevea brasiliensis (rubber tree). Lineage: Eukaryota; Viridiplantae; Streptophyta; Magnoliopsida; Malpighiales; Euphorbiaceae. The record is from RNAcentral.